RNAcentral lists this ribosomal RNA (2245 nucleotides) under Triticum aestivum (bread wheat). Its description in RNAcentral is "partial small subunit ribosomal RNA". The record is from RNAcentral. Lineage: Eukaryota; Viridiplantae; Streptophyta; Magnoliopsida; Poales; Poaceae.
GGUACCUUAUACGCGUGCACUAACGAAUCAGCAACUGGCAUAAAAAAUCCAGUCACGAAAAAAUAAACUUUCCCCAGUCAGCUGACUAAAAAAAAGUAAAUCCCAGUCGGCUAAACACCUGGCAACCUACUUCUAGCACACCGCAGACCUGGAAGAAGAAGGGUAUGGCGGUUUGCACGGCGGUCGGGAGGGCUCUGGCGGAGCGGCGGGACGGGAGGGGCCUUAGCGACGGGGGCCGGCAGGGAGAUCGGGGUGGGCGUUAACCUAAAAAAGAGGCCGCUACCUAAAAAAGAGGCCGCUUCACGCGGUGGCGGCAGGUGGUGGCAUGGGUGGGACUUGGGAUUCUAUCUAUUACUCCAACGGGAGGCCGCUCGGGAAGGAAGAGAAAGGAAGGAAGGCCGAGUGAGGCCGUUUGACAGUUUUUAACUGACUGGGGCUAAUCUUCUGACAAUAAAUCGAUUUAACAAAAAUAAAACGGCACAUUGUUUUCUUUGACUGUACCACGACACCUACUGUCCCGCUUCUAUGCCGAACCCACUGGCACCUAAAGUUUUAUGGUGCACGUUCGCUGCCGCUGACCUAGCCCCAUAAGAGGGGAAGGUUAAAGUUGCCCAGGUGUACGGGACCAAGGGUACCCAGCCCGGGACCGGGACGGUAUACGAGCCGCGGUUAUUUCAUAGUCAAAUGUUUGAUGAGCAGUCCAAUAUUGUUCAGUCGCUGUCCCCGAGAGUUCAAGGUCGACUAGUUGGUCGCGGUCCUAAAAAGGAAGCCUAAGAAGUGGCCACCUGAGAGUUUAGGUUGCGAGCAGCGCCACAGCUUGUCCUAGCAGAAGCGCUUUGGGCUUUCGCGGGCAAAUGGGUGCGGAUCGUGAGCCUUUUUGUACCUUGUUCUACUGACAGUGUACCUGUUCGCCGAUACCGUAGUCACUCCGCGUGGGGAAGCAACUUACCCCGUACUUUCCCUCGGUAGGACACGUGCGUCGUCGACUGUGGCAGUGGAAACCAGCACUCUCGGAGACACCUCUUGGCCGAGCAUCACAACCAACCUCCCUAGGUCCGAAGUAUGUGUGUCGAAAGGACUUCUUAGAGAGUGGUCUCUUUCUUAUGAUGAUGUUUUAACCAGUAUCCGAGGCAUUACCUGUUCAGUAUACCCCGUUCGGAUUUAGGAAGUCUCGUGGAGGAAUAGGACCCGUUUUCAGCGACGUCUCCCAGCAAUAAAAGCCGCUGUACCCUUUCCUGCUCUCCCUGCCUUCGUUGCUCAUGGUCUUGAUGGUCGGACGUAGUGAGUUGUGGUGGCUGCGCGAGUAGUCCCUGGAGCUGUUGUGGCUGUAGCACAAGGUGUAGCCGCUGUAGAGGAUGCGGUUGCCCAUAGACAGCGUCACCCUAGUCAAGUGCGUCGUCCAGCUCGGGUAGUGGAGGGCUCACGGGAUGUACUACCGUUCGCCCUUGGUGCUCGCUCUAAAGGGGUUGUCGCCCAGCGACAUGUUGCCGUGCCUGAGGCCGCCUCUCACGCCGCACGGCCGGCUCUGGUACAUGAUGCAAGGAUGCCUCUUCUCUCUGUUGAUGACCAUGAGGUACCUGAUGCCCUACAAGGCCAAGACGCACCGCCUGUCGCUCGUGCUGACCGCCCUCCCGUGCCUCGUCAUGUCGAAGGACCUGGCGACGGACCCGUCGCACCUGGCCCGCUCCGUCGGCACCGACCAGAAGUAGCGCGUGGCGCAGGAGCCGAUGAGGAGCCCGAAGAAGAUGCCGAAGCUGCCCUGCAAGCGCCUCGGGUACCGCGCCGUCUCGGACCUCCCCGACACCGCCGCGGUGGCCCACCUGCAGCGGAAGAUGCCGGUGCAGGUGGUCAUGCUCGCCUGCACGGGGCAGAUGCUCCUCGCCACAGACGGCCUGCCGGUACCGUGGCAGGUGCAGCAGCAGCCCCCGCCGCCGUCGGUGGACAGGUUGAAGUGGCGGCUCCGGGGCGGCACCUCGCACAUGGCCGUCUACCUGAUGCCCAAGCCGUUCGAGUGCCGCAGGCUGCGGUCCAGCGAGGUCAAGCUCAUGGCCGCCAGGUCGCUGCCGUUCCACAUGCUGUCGAAGUGGGACGCGUCCCUGACUCAAUCGACAUGGGAGACCGGAGACAGACUGGUGUACUACGUCUCCUUUAGCCGACAUGUGUAUUUGACUCUACUUGUGUACUACAUCUCCUUUAGCCGACAUGUGUAUUUGACUCUACUUGUGCAGGCACGUAUCUAAGAGGG